Molecule: ribosomal RNA, 493 nt
Filed under: uncultured bacterium
Lineage: Bacteria
Description: bacterial SSU rRNA
Rfam family: Bacterial small subunit ribosomal RNA
Source: RNAcentral
AGUUUGAUUAUGGCUCAGGAUAAACGCUGGCGGCAUGCCUAAUACAUGCAAGUCGAACGGAGUUACCUUCGGGUAACUUAGUGGCGAACGGGUGAGUAACACGUAGGUAAUCCAUCCCAAGGACGAGGAUAGCUCUGGAAACGGAAGGUAAACUGGAUAGUUAAUUAAAGGGCAUCCUUUAGUUAUUAAAAGAGCAAUCUACCCUGGGAAGAGCCUGCGGCGCAUUAGCUAGUUGGUGAGGUAAUGGCCCACCAAGGCGAUGAUGCGUAGCCGGACUGAGAGGUCGACCGGCCACAUUGGGACUGAGACACGGCCCAGACUCCUACGGGAGGCAGCAGUAGGGAAUUUUCGGCAAUGGGCGGAAGCCUGAACCCGAGCAAUGCCGCGUGAAUGAUGAAGUAUUUCGGUAUGUAAAGUUCUUUUAACAGGGACGAAAAAACAAAUUGACGGUACCUGUUGAAUAAGCUCCGGCUAACUACGUGCCAGCCGCCGC